This 931-nucleotide long non-coding RNA is filed under the name Elaeis guineensis (African oil palm). RNAcentral describes it as "long non-coding RNA (EGUI_LNC050122)". The record is from RNAcentral. Lineage: Eukaryota; Viridiplantae; Streptophyta; Magnoliopsida; Arecales; Arecaceae.
GCAGCUCUCCUUCCUCCUCCCCACUGAAUAUGAUUAUUGGUUGAUCAAUUUAAAUUUUUAGUUCGAUUAAAGAUUGCGUAGAGGAGUGAAUGAUCUGAUUAGUGCUUUCUAUGCUAUCUAUUGCUUACAGAAUCUUCUCUUCAAAUGAUGGGCCAUAGAUAGUUGGAGAAGGCUGAUAUUGUGAAUAGAGCAUAUCGUAAUAAGAUACAUCUAUGAGUGUAGAUCCUUGUAGUAUCGGGGUAACCACUGAUUGUGGUUUUCAUAAAAAAUCUGAUUGAACCCCCCAGCCUGGAUGGUAGGCAUUAAAGUAUGGAUUAUUUUCUGAUCUAUAGGCUAUUUGGAUUUGAUCUUGAUGAACUUGCUCAUACAUAAACUCAGAAAAUUGGUGCAUAGUUGGAUAUUCAACUUGUUGUGCAGAAAAAGAUGGAGAAGGAGAGUGUCUAAUAACUAAUAGACAAUCUAAUUUAUAGGAUAGCUCAUCCACUCUACCGUAGAAAUCCAUAUUCCUAGCAUGGAUCUAAUUUUAUUGGAUUGUUCUGAUUAUUUUGAUAUGCAAUCAAAGGGUUUAGAUCAGAACAAUUCUCUUCUGAUUAUUUUAUUUUAUUUUAUUUUAUUUUAUUUUGAAGAAUGAGAAGAGGGACGAGGAGAGAGAGUUCUAAAGAUAAGAGCCCAAAAGAUCCUAGAUUUAAGAGAUAGGUGCAAAGAAUUAGUUAAUAUUUGAUGUUAAUUAUAAUCAAAUUAAAUAAAAAUGGACUCUUUGUAACACCCAGAGCUAGCAAAGUGGUAAUCUAAGAGAUUUACAAUUGUAUUUAGCAUUCAUGUAUAUGUAGUAUAGCACUUUAUCAUAUAUUUGAGCCUUUAAAUGUUGAUUAAGCCAUGGUAAUAAAGCUUAAGUAUGUUGUUAGUUAAGAAGAAAAAUGAUUGAGAAAAG